RNAcentral lists this long non-coding RNA (447 nucleotides) under Linum usitatissimum (flax). RNAcentral's name for it is "long non-coding RNA (LUSI_LNC001655)". Lineage: Eukaryota; Viridiplantae; Streptophyta; Magnoliopsida; Malpighiales; Linaceae. The record is from RNAcentral.
CGCCAAGUUCUCCGUCCGCGCCGCCGGCUCCUACGCCGAUGAGCUUGUCAAGACUGCGGUAUGCACCCCCAUGCAACUUUACUUUUUACGUACCUUGGCCAGCUUUCUUUUACACAUUCAUAACUUUAUUUUUCUGCAUGUGUUAGUUUAUGGCUUUAUUUUGCUGCAUGUGCUAGUUUAUGGCUGUAGAGAAUAGAUUCACACACUUGUAUCAUCCAGAUGAGUAAGAAAUAGACUAGAUUCCACCUGAAUAUACGGUUUGCAAAACUUGUACAUCAGAUUAUAGCCACUGUUAGCAGCAGAUAUAUGGGGUUCAAGUGGGUACACCUGCAACACACAGAAGAAACAAUCUUUUAACAUGCUAUUAGUAUGAAUCUCUGCAUAAUUUCAGUGAUCUAAUGAGAUUUCUUUUUCUUUUUUGGGAACACUAGAAAACAAUAGCAUCAC